This 497-nucleotide ribosomal RNA is filed under the name uncultured bacterium. Its description in RNAcentral is "partial 16S ribosomal RNA". It matches the Rfam family "Bacterial small subunit ribosomal RNA", at positions 28 to 507 of the family's 1533-position model. The record is from RNAcentral.
GAUGAACGCUGGCGGCGUGCCUAAUACAUGCAAGUCGAGCGAACGGACGGGAAGCUUGCUUUUCUGAUGUUAGCGGCGGACGGGUGAGUAACACGUGGAUAACCUACCUAUAAGACUGGGAUAACUUCGGGAAACCGGAGCUAAUACCGGAUAAUAUUUUGAACCGCAUGGCUCAAAAGUGAAAGACGGUCUUGCUGUCACUUAUAGAUGGAUCCGCGCUGCAUUAGCUAGUUGGUAAGGUAACGGCUUACCAAGGCAACGAUGCAUAGCCGACCUGAGAGGGUGAUCGGCCACACUGGAACUGAGACACGGUCCAGACUCCUACGGGAGGCAGCAGUAGGGAAUCUUCCGCAAUGGGCGAAAGCCUGACGGAGCAACGCCGCGUGAGUGAUGAAGGUCUUCGGAUCGUAAAACUCUGUUAUUAGGGAAGAACAUAUGUGUAAGUAACUGUGCACAUCUUGACGGUACCUAAUCAGAAAGCCACGGCUAACUACGUG